CACGAUGUAAAACAGUGCCCUGGUGAGAGACAGCUUCCUGGCAAGGAACAGCCCGAAGGUCACUGCUGGGUUUAUGUGCCCUCCUGAGAUGCCGGCGGUACAGUAGACGAGCGCGAAGAUCAUGCCUCCGAAGGACCAGGCGAUGCCCUGGAUGCCGACGGUGGCGCACUUGGAGGAGGACUUGGAGACCCCCAUGACGGUGAGGAUGGUGAUGUAGAGGAAG
This 223-nucleotide unclassified non-coding RNA is filed under the name Hevea brasiliensis (rubber tree). Lineage: Eukaryota; Viridiplantae; Streptophyta; Magnoliopsida; Malpighiales; Euphorbiaceae. The record is from RNAcentral.